AUUGAACGCUGGCGGCAUGCCUUACACAUGCAAGUCGAACGGCAGCACGGGGCAACCUGGUGGCGAGUGGCGAACGGGUGAGUAAUACAUCGGAACGUGCCCAAUCGUGGGGGGAUAACGUAGCGAAAGUUACGCUAAUACCGCAUACGAUCUACGGAUGAAAGCGGGGGAUCGCAAGACCUCGCGCGAAUGGAGCGGCCGAUGUCAGAUUAGGUAGUUGGUGGGGUAAAGGCUCACCAAGCCAACGAUCUGUAGCUGGUCUGAGAGGACGACCAGCCACACUGGAACUGAGACACGGUCCAGACUCCUACGGGAGGCAGCAGUGGGGAAUUUUGGACAAUGGGCGCAAGCCUGAUCCAGCCAUUCCGCGUGCAGGAUGAAGGCCUUCGGGUUGUAAAG
This 399-nucleotide ribosomal RNA is filed under the name uncultured bacterium. RNAcentral's name for it is "bacterial SSU rRNA". It matches the Rfam family "Bacterial small subunit ribosomal RNA", at positions 30 to 430 of the family's 1533-position model. The record is from RNAcentral.